CCGCCUUAUUAACAUCAAUAAGGCAGACCCAGGCUUCAGUGGGAUUCCUGGUGGGCUAGAAACCACAAUUGCAGCAGAGAAGGAAUUAAAGGUCGAUGAGCUGCCAAAUGGUGAUGUGGUUAUUCAAGUCAUACCAGAAUCAGAUUCAGAAGCAGAGAGACGUGCAGUGUUCGAUUUGGACACGAUAGAAUUAGACAGAGGAAGCCAGUCCACCGGC
Mya arenaria is the source of this 217-nucleotide long non-coding RNA. RefSeq lists it as uncharacterized. NCBI's taxonomy places the organism in Eukaryota, Metazoa, Mollusca, Bivalvia, Myida, Myidae. The record is from RefSeq and is a predicted model, not a curated record. The transcript has 4 exons.